AUCAUCUCUUUGGUAGGUAUAAAUAAGUGUUUAUAAUAUGAGUAACGAUUAUUUUAGCUUCAGUACUGUGUGAUAACUUGAACAAGAUGAAGUGUAUUGUGUUAUUCUUUGCAAUCGUGCUUUUAGCGUAUAAUUGCGAUUCCCAAGCGAAUAACUUUCGGCCUGUAGUGUCAAACAACGGGAGUAUUGCUGCCGGAUCUCUGCAAGGAAAUACUUUCGGCAGUGGAUCAUUUACUGUAGUGCAGCCGGAACCUGAAAAAUGCGGUUACUUCCAGAAGAUUCUGAAGAACAGGGGCUGGGAUAUGGAUUGCGUAUUAUAAAAUAAAAGAGAUACAUAUUACAAUGUCUUAUGAGAAAUAAAGUGUCGUAAAUAAAUUAUAAAGUAUCUACUAUUAUUUGUGUCUAUUAGUGUUUUUUGUGAAUCAAAUAAAGAUUUAAAAAAUU
This is a long non-coding RNA of Helicoverpa armigera (cotton bollworm), 444 nucleotides long. RefSeq lists it as uncharacterized. The transcript has 3 exons. Lineage: Eukaryota; Metazoa; Arthropoda; Insecta; Lepidoptera; Noctuidae. The record is from RefSeq and is a predicted model, not a curated record.